GAAUAUAAAACCCCCUCCUAUUAAUAGCAGUGUCAUUAAAUAGGAGGUAGUAACGAUACUUAGGGAGCUAAAUUUAGGGGGAGAAAAAUGAUACAUAAUUAGUCAUGUCUAUUCUUUCUUUGUAAACGGUACUUCAGCGUGUUGAAAGAUGCUUUAAAUCAGUCUUACAGAAAAAGCCUUGCUUCUAGGGAGAGCUGUGCGUGUCCAGCGGACACCCCUUGCACCCAUCUUGUCUUUCUAGAUCUCAGAGCUCCUGCAGGAUUCUGCUGGCAGUAGGUCACCACCAGACACCCCUGUGCUGUCAGGGAACUUUAAAGGAGCUGCAUCUUUCUCCUGAAGAAGAGACCCCCUGAGGGCAGGGGCACCCAUCCACUGGGCCACCGCUCAGUGAAGAAGGCUUCUCACCGGAGUCUGCCUAAACCUGGAGCUCAGGUUUCCUGUCUCUGCCUCACUUCUCUUCCUGAUCCGCCUUUCUUCCCGUUUUCUUCCCGCCUUUCUCCCUGUUUUCUUCCUGACUUCUGUGGCCACUGGAAGGCGAGAUCACAAGGUUGGUCAGGUGUGCAGACAAAAUUAAGGGCCUCAGAGUCCAAGUAUGAACCAUGUAAUUAAUUACUUUUAAAACUGCCCAGGUGCUGGAGCAAGGGAUGGGCCCCGUGACUAAGCGCACCCCCCCCAGCUGACACCCCCAGAGAGCCAGGUUGCGUCCAGCACACCUCCUGCAGGCGUUUGCAGAGUGAACGGUGGAUAGGAGCUCUGACUCUGAAAUAAAUUAAAAAAUGUUAAUAUGCAAGGCAAAUAUUUAUCUAAAAUAAGAACAACAACCUCAUUGCGAUUUCCAAUAGAAGCUGCAAGGCCGAGAGCCAGGCCGGCUGUCCUCUGCCUCCUCCCCCCACGGCUCUGCUCCUUCCCCUCCCUCCCGGCUCCGGCCAAGAAUCGGAGCAGAGCUCGCGCGACCCCUCCCGCCCCGCCGAGGCGCCUCCCCCUUGCCGUCCCAGUCCGGCUCCGAGAGCCCCGGGCGGCCCCGCUGCCUUCCCACGGGAGCCGAGUGGAGAGGCGGCCGCGGACCAGAAUUCCUGGUAACCUCACUCUACGGGAUAAAUUUGUGCUCUUUUGGCUGUCUUUUGAGGCAGUCAGAACAUCCAUCUUGUGAUGUGAGUGAAAUGAAAUCCUUAAUACAUGUUGAUUUUUAUAUCUGCAGGACAGUCUUUUACUUUUUUGUUGUUGUUGUUGUUGAGAGGCAGAACACUAUGGAGACAGCUCAGAUCUGCUGGUUCACUCCCCAAAUGCCUGCUAUUCUUUCAGGAGUCUGCAGUGUUUUUAUUUUGUUUGUUUUUUGUAUUUUUUUUUUUGACAGGCAGAGUUAGACAGUGAGAGAGAGAGACAGAGUGAAAGGUCUUCCUUUUCUGUUGGUUCACCCCCCAAAUGGCCGCCACGGAACAGCGCGCUGCAUCGAUCUGAAGCCAGGAGCUUCUCCUGGUCUCCCAUGUGGGUUCAGGGCCCAAGGACUUGGGCCAUCCUCCACUGCCUUCCCGGGCCACAGCAGAGAGCUGGACUGGAAGAGGAGCAACUGGGACAGAAUCUGGCCCCCCAACUGGGACUAGAACCUGGGGUGCCAGCACCGCAGGCGGAGGAUUAGCCUAUUGAGCUGCGGUGCCAGCAUGCUGAUGUCCUUUUAAUCAAGAUCUUCUGCACUGUUGUAACUGACCUAGGUAAUGAGAAUUUUAUGUAUCUUUAUUGAGUCACGAUUGGAGACUUAACCUUUACCCAAUUAACCAAUCAAAACCAUCACUUCUCCAGGGCCCAUCAGAGAACAUCCCCUCUUGCAGCCCAUAAAAACCACGAGGCAAUCAGCCCUCAACAGCUCCUCCUCCAGGGACCCUCGAGGUGCUGCCGGCAGCUCUUGCUUUUGCUUCCUCUGUUUUUUGUUUUGUUUUGCAGUGAACUACUUCUGCUUUCCACACUCUUCCUUGUCUGCACUCCUAAUUCUUCAUGAUCACAGGACACGAAUGCUAGUGAUUAGAACUGCAGACUCCUGCCAGUGCCACGGCUCACUUGGCUAAUCCAUCGCCUGCGGCGCCGGCACCCUGGGUUCUAGUCCCAGUUGGGGCGCCGGAUUCUGUCCCAGUUGCUCCUCUUCCAGUCCAGCUCUC
This 2150-nucleotide long non-coding RNA is filed under the name Oryctolagus cuniculus (rabbit). RNAcentral describes it as "lncRNA (ENSOCUG00000038000.1)". The record is from RNAcentral. Lineage: Eukaryota; Metazoa; Chordata; Mammalia; Lagomorpha; Leporidae.